UGUUAACGUAGGGGCGUAGUUCGGAAGGUUGAGGGGGUGUUGCUAAUUGUCCAACCCCUACAUUGUCGUCGUGUGUCUGUUUCGUUAUUAACCUUGUGGUCUUUCGUGGGGAAUACUAUGUGGUAGGCGUCCUCUGUAAUGAGAGUGUUGUUCGUAAGCGCGUCAAUGGGCAUGUUUGUGUUUUCCGCGUCUUUUCACGGCAUGGCCUUUAAGUUUCAGAGGCCUUCGCCAGCGUUCAGAGUUGUGGGUUAUUUACUUAAAUGUGACUGACUGGGGUGGGUAUUGGGGGGGCAGGAAGUGAUGGGAGAGUCUGGGUGUGUGGGUUGGGGUAGGGGAUGAUGGUUGGA
Non-coding RNA from Pelobates cultripes (western spadefoot toad), 347 nucleotides. The record is from the annotation of a GenBank genome assembly. NCBI's taxonomy places the organism in Eukaryota, Metazoa, Chordata, Amphibia, Anura, Pelobatidae.